AUACGGAGGACGCGAGCGUUAUCCGGAUUCAUUGGGUUUAAAGGGAGCGCAGGCGGAGAUGCAAGCGUGACGUCAAAUUUCGGGGCUCAACCCCGUCUCGCGUCGCGAACUGCGUCCCUUGGUUGCGGGAAGGGGAGGCGGAACUCGUGGUGUAGCGGUGAAAUGCAUAGAUAUCACGAAGAACUCCGAUCGCGAAGGCAGCCUUCCGGCCCGUCAACGACGCUCAUGCUCGAAGGUGCGGGUAUCAAACAGGAUUAGAUACCCUGGUAGUCCGCACAGUAAACGAUGGACACCCGCGGUUUGGCCUAUAUGGCUGAGCCGCCAAGCGAAAGCGUUAAGUGUCCCACCUGGGGAGUACGCCGGCAACGGUGAAACUCAAAUGAAUUGGCGGG
RNAcentral lists this ribosomal RNA (392 nucleotides) under uncultured bacterium. RNAcentral's name for it is "partial 16S ribosomal RNA". It matches the Rfam family "Bacterial small subunit ribosomal RNA", at positions 523 to 917 of the family's 1533-position model. The record is from RNAcentral.